CUUUUAAGAAUACUAAUCAAUGAUACUAUAGUGAUAUCAUUAAAUGUAUGGCAUAUAGCUUGAUUCGGAUGCAACAUGAUGCAUGCAUUAACACAACCGAAGGCCAAAAACCAUAAAGUGAUACACGUAUCCAAAUCAAUCCAAGCAGCAUGACUCCACAAUUUCACUUACAUAUGAAAUUGAGUUCACGGGGAUGAAUGUCAACUAGACGGCCUCAUGAUUCCUCUAGCCUAAGAUAGUAAAUGAAAAAAAAAAAUAAAAAAAAAUCAAGGCACCACUAAGUUUCAAAUAAAAUAUAAUGAAUUGACAAGAACAACAACGAUAUCAACUCAUUUUUACCAUAUUUUCUCUACUAUCUAGAGGCAUAUGGUUGGAAUAAGUAAAGGAAGUAAGAUACAAGUCAAAACUAAAAGUAAGAAAGACACACUGGAAAAUCAUGGAUUUUUUUUUGGAAGAGAAGAAUAUUUAAGGUUAGAAAGAAAUUAACAAAUUUAAGAACGUUCUUGAUUUUGGGACUGUCGAAAAACCAAUAUAAAUAAAAAUCUUUGCAGCUUUCAUAUGUGUAUUCAACAAUGGAAGAUGGAACACAAAACACAGAUUGGGAGUUUGUUUCUACUACUUUUGUGGGAAGUAAAAUUAGAAGGCCAAAACACUUCCCCCAAUAAAAUCCUCCAUUUAUACAAAACUUCAAACCUCACAACACCACAUAUAAAUACGCACAUGGAAGAAGUAAUAAAUAGUUGCACAGGAAAAAAUAAAUUUAAGGACAAAUGUGUGAGAAUUUGAUCGAGUGAGAAGAAGAGGCAAUUGAGACAGAAAUUGAUAGGGAGUAAUAGGCAAAACAUGCAACAAAGUAGAGAUGAUGAUCCAUAAGAUGAUUCCGAUGGUUGGAAUUGUAGCGGCCGAUGAAUUGUAAGAAAGAUA
This 924-nucleotide long non-coding RNA is filed under the name Olea europaea subsp. europaea. Lineage: Eukaryota; Viridiplantae; Streptophyta; Magnoliopsida; Lamiales; Oleaceae. The record is from RNAcentral.